This 427-nucleotide ribosomal RNA is filed under the name uncultured bacterium. RNAcentral's name for it is "bacterial SSU rRNA". It matches the Rfam family "Bacterial small subunit ribosomal RNA", at positions 8 to 481 of the family's 1533-position model. The record is from RNAcentral.
AGAGUUUGAUCAUGGCUCAGAAUGAACGCUGGCGGCAUGCCUAACACAUGCAAGUCGAACGAGAUCUUCGGAUCUAGUGGCGCACGGGUGAGUAACGCGUGGGAACCUACCUUUUAGUACGGGACAACGUUUGGAAACGAACGCUAAUACCGUAUACGCCCUCCGGGGGAAAGGUCAGCCGCUAAAAGAGGGGCCCGCGUCUGAUUAGCUUGUUGGUAAGGUAAUGGCUUACCAAGGCGACGAUCAGUAGCUGGUCUGAGAGGAUGAUCAGCCACACUGGGACUGAGACACGGCCCAGACUCCUACGGGAGGCAGCAGUGGGGAAUAUUGGACAAUGGAGGCAACUCUGAUCCAGCAAUGCCGCGUGUGUGAUGAAGGCCCUAGGGUUGUAAAGCACUUUCAACGGUGAAGAUGAUGACGGUAGCCG